This 968-nucleotide ribosomal RNA is filed under the name uncultured bacterium. Its description in RNAcentral is "bacterial SSU rRNA". It matches the Rfam family "Bacterial small subunit ribosomal RNA", at positions 500 to 1482 of the family's 1533-position model. The record is from RNAcentral.
AAUCCGUGCAGCAGCCGCGGUAUACGGAGGAUUGAGCUUAUCCGGAUUAUGGGUUUAAAGGUGCGUAGGUUGUUUUCAUUAAUUUAGUCGUUAAAGAGUUGGGCUUAACCUAAUCAUGGCGAUUGAUACUGUGGACUAGAGAUUGGUUGCGGUAGGCGGAAUGAGUAGUGUAGCGGUGAAAUGCUUAGAUAUUACUCAGAACACCGAUUGCGAAGGCAGCUUACCAAGCCAUAUCUGACACUGAGGCACGAAAGCGUGGGGAUCAAACAGGAUUAGAUACCCUGGUAGUCCACGCUGUAAACGAUGCUAACUCGUUGCUGGCGAUAUGAUAGUUCAGUGACUAAGGGAAACCGAUAAGUUAGCCACCUGGGGAGUACGACCGCAAGGUUGAAACUCAAAGGAAUUGACGGGGGCCCGCACAAGCGGAGGAACAUGUGGUUUAAUUCGAUGAUACGCGAGGAACCUUACCCAGGCUUGAAAGUUAGUGACGAACCUUGAAAGGGGUUUUUCCUUCGGGACACGAAACUAGGUGCUGCAUGGUUGUCGUCAGCUCGUGCCGUGAGGUGUCGGGUUAAGUCCCAUAACGAGCGCAACCCUUGUCGUUAGUUGCAAACAGGUAAGGCUGUGGACUCUAGCGAGACUGCCGGUGUAAACCGUGAGGAAGGUGGGGAUGACGUCAAAUCAGCACGGCCCUUACGUCUGGGGCGACACACGUGUUACAAUGGUCGGUACAGAGAGUUGCGACAUAGCGAUAUGGAGCUAAUCUCAAAAAGCCGAUCUCAGUUCGGAUCGCAGGCUGAAACUCGCCUGCGUGAAGUUGGAUUCGCUAGUAAUCGCACAUCAGCCAUGGUGCGGUGAAUACGUUCCCGGGCCUUGUACACACCGCCCGUCAAGCCAUGGAAGUUUGGGGUGCCUGAAGUACGUGACCGUAAAAGGAGCGUCCUAGGGCAAAACAGAUAACUAGGGCU